Molecule: ribosomal RNA, 253 nt
Filed under: uncultured bacterium
Lineage: Bacteria
Description: partial 16S ribosomal RNA
Rfam family: Bacterial small subunit ribosomal RNA
Source: RNAcentral
UACGAAGGGUGCAAGCGUUAAUCGGAAUUACUGGGCUUAAAGCGUGUGUAGGCGGGCCGUUAAGUGUCUUGUGAAAUCCCCCGGCUCAACCGGGGAACUGCCGGGCAUACUGGCGGCCUUGAGAGACCUAGGGGCGAGCGGAACAAGCGGUGGAGCGGUGAAAUGCGUAGAUAUCGCUUGGAACGCCGACGGUGAAAACAGCUCGCUGGGGGUCUUCUGACGCUGAGACACGAAAGCCAGGGGAGCGAACGGG